RNAcentral lists this ribosomal RNA (301 nucleotides) under uncultured bacterium. Its description in RNAcentral is "partial 16S ribosomal RNA". It matches the Rfam family "Bacterial small subunit ribosomal RNA", at positions 509 to 807 of the family's 1533-position model. The record is from RNAcentral.
CAGCAGCCGCGGUAAUACAGAGGUCCCGAGCGUUGUUCGGAUUCACUGGGCGUAAAGGGUGUGUAGGAGGUUGGAUAAGUCAGGUGUGAAAUCCCGCAGCUCAACUGCGGAACUGCAUUCGAUACUGUUCAACUAGAGGAUCGGAGGGGGAAGCGGAAUUCUUGGUGUAGCAGUGAAAUGCGUGGAGAUCAAGAGGAACACUCGUGGCGAAAGCGAGCUACUGGACAAUAACUGACGCUGAGGCUCGAAGGCCAGGGUAGCGAAAGGGAUUAGAUACCCGCGUAGUCCCUGUCUCUUAUAC